RNAcentral lists this ribosomal RNA (492 nucleotides) under uncultured bacterium. RNAcentral describes it as "partial 16S ribosomal RNA". It matches the Rfam family "Bacterial small subunit ribosomal RNA", at positions 29 to 507 of the family's 1533-position model. The record is from RNAcentral.
AGUGAACGCUGGCGGUAGGCCUAACACAUGCAAGUCGAACGGCAGCACAGUAAGAGCUUGCUCUUACGGGUGGCGAGUGGCGGACGGGUGAGGAAUACAUCGGAAUCUACUUUUUCGUGGGGGAUAACGUAGGGAAACUUACGCUAAUACAGCAUACGACCUACGGGUGAAAGCAGGGGAUCUUCGGACCUUGCGCGAUUGAAUGAGCCGAUGUCGGAUUAGCUAGUUGGCGGGGUAAAGGCCCACCAAGGCGACGAUCCGUAGCUGGUCUGUGAGGAUGAUCAGCCACACUGGAACUGAGACACGGUCCAGACUCCUACGGGAGGCAGCAGUGGGGAAUAUUGGACAAUGGGCGCAAGCCUGAUCCAGCCAUACCGCGUGGGUGAAGAAGGCCUUCGGGUUGUAAAGCCCUUUUGUUGGGAAAGAAAAGCAGCAGGUUAAUACCCCGCUGUUCUGACGGUACCCAAAGAAUAAGCACCGGCUAACUUCGUG